UACGUAGGGGGCUAGCGUUGUCCGGAAUCAUUGGGCGUAAAGCGCGUGUAGGCGGUUCGGUAAGUCCGCUGUGAAAGUCGGGGGCUCAACCCUCGAAUGCCGGUGGAUACUGUCGGGCUAGAGUGCGGAAGAGGCGAGUGGAAUUCCUGGUGUAGCGGUGAAAUGCGCAGAUAUCAGGAGGAACACCGAUGGCGAAGGCAGCUCGCUGGGACGGUACUGACGCUGAGGCGCGAAAGCGUGGGGAGCGAACAGG
This 253-nucleotide ribosomal RNA is filed under the name uncultured bacterium. Its description in RNAcentral is "partial 16S ribosomal RNA". It matches the Rfam family "Bacterial small subunit ribosomal RNA", at positions 524 to 776 of the family's 1533-position model. The record is from RNAcentral.